UCCCUGGUGGUCUAGUGGUUAAGAUUUGGGGCUCUCGCUGUCGUGGCCCAGGUUCAUUUCCUGGUCAGGGAA
Non-coding RNA from Equus caballus (horse), 72 nucleotides. Lineage: Eukaryota; Metazoa; Chordata; Mammalia; Perissodactyla; Equidae. The record is from Rfam.